UGCUCCGGGAAGAUCGAGUGGCGGACGGGUGAGUAACACGUGAGCAACCUGCCUUUCAGAGGGGGAUAACGUUUGGAAACGAACGCUAAUACCGCAUAACAUCACCGGGUGGCAUCAUCUGGUGAUCAAAGGAGCAAUCCGCUGAAAGAUGGGCUCGCGCCCGAUUAGAUAGUUGGUGGGGUAAUGGCCUACCAAGUCUGCGAUCGGUAGCCGGACUGAGAGGUUGAUCGGCCACAUUGGGACUGAGACACGGCCCAGACUCCUACGGGAGGCAGCAGUGGGGAAUAUUGCACAAUGGAGGAAACUCUGAUGCAGCGACGCCGCGUGAGUGAAGACGGUCUUCGGAUUGUAAAGCUCCGUCUUCGGGGACGAUAAUGACGGUACCCGAGGAGGAAGCCACGGCUAACUACGUGCCAGCAGCCGCGGUAAUACGUAGGUGGCGAGCGUUGUCCGGAAUUACUGGGUGUAAAGGGAGCGCAGGCGGGGAGCCAAGUUGGAUGUGAAAUACCGCAGCUCAACUGCGGGGCUGCAUCCAAAACUGGUUCUCUUGAGUGAAGUAGAGGUAGGCGGAAUUCCUAGUGUAGCGGUGAAAUGCGUAGAUAUUAGGAGGAACACCAAUGGCGAAGGCGGCCUACUGGGCUUUAACUGACGCU
This 653-nucleotide ribosomal RNA is filed under the name uncultured bacterium. RNAcentral describes it as "bacterial SSU rRNA". It matches the Rfam family "Bacterial small subunit ribosomal RNA", at positions 77 to 747 of the family's 1533-position model. The record is from RNAcentral.